Molecule: ribosomal RNA, 664 nt
Filed under: Chiococca pinetorum
Lineage: Eukaryota; Viridiplantae; Streptophyta; Magnoliopsida; Gentianales; Rubiaceae
Description: eukaryotic LSU rRNA
Source: RNAcentral
UUCYGUAGGUGAACCUGCGGAAGGAUCAUUGACGAAUCCUGCAAAGCAGACGACCGUGAACUUGUGUAAAACUCAGGCAUCAGUGGACGUGUGGGUAACCCCUACCCUUCUCUUGAUGCUCUCCACAUGCUCGUUGUGUGGAAAAACACUAAACCCCGGCGCGGAAAGCGCCAAGGAAAACGUAAACAGAUUGCCUUGCAUCCCAUAGCCCCGUUCGCGGUUAUGCUCAUGGGGUGUGUGGGCAUCUAUAGAAACCAAAACGACUCUCGGCAACGGAUAUCUCGGCUCUCGCAUCGAUGAAGAACGUAGCGAAAUGCGAUACUUGGUGUGAAUUGCAGAAUCCCGUGAACCAUCGAGUUUUUGAACGCAAGUUGCGCCCGAAGCCAUUAGGSCGAGGGCACGUCUGCCUGGGCGUCACGCAUCGCGUCGCCACCCACCAUCGUUGUGAUGGGUGGCGGAUGUUGGCCUCCCGUGCUGCAAGGUGCGGCCGGCCUAAAUGUGAGUCCUCGACGAGAGACGUCACGACUAGUGGUGGUUGAAUAGCUCAACUCGUGUCCUGUCGUGCCGAUGCCUCUCGCCGUCUUCGGGCUCCCGUGACCCUAUUGCGUGCUCACAAAGCACGCCUCGACCGCGACCCCAGGUCAGGCGGGAUUACCCGCUGAAU